This 84-nucleotide non-coding RNA is filed under the name Pessonella sp. PRA-29. Lineage: Eukaryota; Discosea; Flabellinia; Vannellidae. The record is from RNAcentral.
AGCGACAUCAAUCUGUUCGUGAACACCAAACAAACGGCAUUAGCGCUGCACAUUUCAAGUUUUGCCGUGUCGGAUCCGUUCGAC